Molecule: ribosomal RNA, 509 nt
Filed under: uncultured bacterium
Lineage: Bacteria
Description: partial 16S ribosomal RNA
Rfam family: Bacterial small subunit ribosomal RNA
Source: RNAcentral
GACGAACGCUGGCGGCGCGCUUAACGCAUGCAAGUCGAGCGAGAUCCAGGCCUUCGGGCCUGGGGACAGCGGCGAACGGGUGAGUAACACGUGGGUAAUCAACCCUCGACACUGGGAUAGCCCGGGGAAACCCGGAUCAAUACCGGAUGGCCCUUUGGAUCUUCGGAUCUGACGGGAAAGGUAGCUUCGGCCUCCGGUCGAGGACGAGCCCGCGGCGGAUUAGCUUGUUGGUGAGGUAACGGCUCACCAAGGCGACGAUCCGUAGCUGGUCUGAGAGGACGAUCAGCCACACUGGGACUGAGACACGGCCCAGACUCCUACGGGAGGCAACAGUGGGGAAUCUUGCGCUAAUGCGGGAAACCGUGACGCAGCGACGCCGCGUGAGGGAAGAAGGCCUUCGGGUUGUAAACCUCUUUCAGGAGGGACGAAGCCACUCGGGUGGAUAGCCCAGAGGGUGACGGUACCUCCAGAAGAAGCCCCGGCUAACUACGUGCCAGCCGCCGCAGUAA